Molecule: ribosomal RNA, 253 nt
Filed under: uncultured bacterium
Lineage: Bacteria
Description: partial 16S ribosomal RNA
Rfam family: Bacterial small subunit ribosomal RNA
Source: RNAcentral
UACGGGGGGGGCAAGCGUUGUUCGGAAUUACUGGGCGUAAAGGGCGCGUAGGCGGUUGGAUAAGUCAGCUGUGAAAACCACGGGCUUAACUCGUGGCCUGCAGUUGAGACUGUCUGGCUUGAGUGUGGGAGAGGAGAGUGGAAUUCCUGGUGUAGCGGUGAAAUGCGCAGAUAUCAGGAGGAACACCGGUGGCGAAGGCGGGUCUCUGGGCCGUAACUGACGCUGAGGAGCAAAAGCGUGGGGAGCAAACAGG